UUUAUAACUGUAAAAAUGCCUGUUCUGAACUUACAAACUCAGGCAGGAGGAUGGUUCCUCCACCCAUCAAGGACGACUAUCAAAACUAAGUGGGCCAUUGUGAAGCAUCACAAUAUAAAGACUCUGACACCCGUGAAGGUUCUAUGUGCAAGGAAGCUUGUUCCACCAGCUUGAAUUCUGGAAAAAGAAAAUAAGGAUAGCUGACAUGAAAAUUCUUCAACUCUGUUGUUUGGACUCUCACAGGGCUGGAGCUAGGAAACAAAAUCAGAAAUCCCCAGGGUCAAUCUGUCAGUGUUGACAGAUUACUACGACUCUGAUUGGCUACAAGCAGUGUCUAUGGUGUGAGAUCUAAGGUACUAAUUGAUGUGAGAGUUUUGACCAAACCACUAAGAAAGAGUUCUACAAUAAGUCUGGGAGGAGUGAAAGGAGACAAGGGAAUAAGCAAAUGAAUAGAAAAAAACAUUGACUUCAGAUAUCCUUUGAAGCAGCACUGAAAAUCAUCACACAUCAAGUCGGGCAAGCUGGAGAACAUUGAUAUUCUGGAGGUACCCGAGGGGAAUUGUGAAAUUCUGUUCCAGGCCAACAGCAGACAGCCACCUUUGUAUGCUAAGGAGAUAUUGAGGCAUCUAGUGACCAACCAGCACAUCUCAAAAUGGAGGAUCUCGAAGUGCUUUACAAAGAUGGACAAAGUAUACCGUCUCCACAGAAGGGGGAAUUGAAGUGCUGAGACCAGCAACAGAGUCAGCACCUGCCUCUCGCAAGCACCCCCUCAGUUUAGGUGUGUCUGCAUCCUUUCAGUUCUUUUCAGCGGGGCGGCACCCACUUCUUGUCAGCGCCCCCCUCCGGCCGAUGGAUCCCUUGCUGGGUCUUCAGCAACUCAGUCCUCAGGGUCUUAUCUCUGCCUGACCCCUCAAACAUCCAUGUCAAUGAACCUGCAUGCAGGAAAAGCACAUAAGUAUUCAAGAAAAUAUCACCUGAAUUGAAAAAAUGAAGAAUGAAACAUUUUUAAAAUGCGGAAGUAUCACAUAUAAUUUCUCCUUUUAUUUAGAA
This is a long non-coding RNA of Mauremys reevesii (Reeves's turtle), 1050 nucleotides long. RefSeq lists it as uncharacterized. The transcript is spliced from 8 exons. Lineage: Eukaryota; Metazoa; Chordata; Testudines; Geoemydidae. The record is from RefSeq and is a predicted model, not a curated record.